UAGGCCUGUAACUCAGUGGGUAGAGUGGUUGCCUUACAAGCAAUAAGUCAUCGGUUCGAGUCCGGUUAGGCCUAG
RNAcentral lists this transfer RNA (75 nucleotides) under Pseudobryopsis hainanensis. Its description in RNAcentral is "tRNA-Val". It matches the Rfam family "tRNA". Rfam says of the family: Transfer RNA (tRNA) molecules are approximately 80 nucleotides in length. Their secondary structure includes four short double-helical elements and three loops (D, anti-codon, and T loops). The record is from RNAcentral. Lineage: Eukaryota; Viridiplantae; Chlorophyta; Ulvophyceae; Bryopsidales; Pseudobryopsidaceae.